ACACGUAGGGGCCUGACGUUGUUCGGAAUCAUUGGGCGUAAAGGGCGCGCAGGCGGCCGUCCAAGUCCGGUGAUAAAUGGUCGGGCUCAACCCGAUCAUGCGCUGGAAACUGGGCGGCUUGAGUCCCGUAGGGGAUGCCGGAAUUCCAGGUGUAGGGGUGAAAUCUGUAGAUAUCUGGAAGAACACCGAUGGCGAAGGCAGGCAUCUGGCCGGAGACUGACGCUGAGGCGCGAAGGCGCGGGGAGCGAACAGGUUUAGAUACCCUGGUAGUCCGCGCAGUAAACGAUGCGCACCAGGUGUCGGGCGGCAGCGCCCGGUACCGGAGCUAACGCGAUGAGUGCGCCGCCUGGGGAGUAUGCUCGCAAGGGUGAAACUUAAAGGAAUUGACGGGG
This 392-nucleotide ribosomal RNA is filed under the name uncultured bacterium. RNAcentral's name for it is "partial 16S ribosomal RNA". It matches the Rfam family "Bacterial small subunit ribosomal RNA", at positions 523 to 918 of the family's 1533-position model. The record is from RNAcentral.